UGUCACCUCCAGUUUCCAUUUUAAAUUGUAAAAUUUCCAAAUUUGGAGACAAGCAGAUAUUUUUCUCAUCUUGAAAAGGAGGAGCGAGCGUUAGCUAGCUGAUUAGCCGUAGGUGGGAAACGAACCAUCUCUAAUAAAAACAGUAACUUUUAGAGAAACUCUGGGGAAGUUCUGUAGUCCCACCCUGCCCCGUGACCUUUCAUUCUCUUAGUUCUUCUGCCACAGAGAAGCACCGAUCGACUAAUAAAAGAUUUGAUCUUGCUAUAAUUUCCCAAGCAGCAACAUGGAUGGAGACAGAUAAAGGAACUAACAGGAACAGAAAACCAAAUGCUGCAUAUUCUCACUUCUAAGUGG
Molecule: long non-coding RNA, 354 nt
Filed under: Callithrix jacchus (white-tufted-ear marmoset)
Lineage: Eukaryota; Metazoa; Chordata; Mammalia; Primates; Cebidae
Description: lncRNA (ENSCJAG00000059186.2)
Source: RNAcentral